RNAcentral lists this ribosomal RNA (251 nucleotides) under Pantoea sp. PNA 14-12. Lineage: Bacteria; Pseudomonadati; Pseudomonadota; Gammaproteobacteria; Enterobacterales; Erwiniaceae. The record is from RNAcentral.
ACCGGUACUAAUGACCCGUGAGGCUUAACCUUACAACGCCAGAGGCGUUUUGGGUUGAGAGACAGAAGAAUUUUCAGGCUUGUUUACCGGAUAACGCCGUGCGGCCCGAGAGGGCGGUGCGGCAGACAGAAUCUGCCUGGCGGCUGUAGCGCGGUGGUCCCACCUGACCCCAUGCCGAACUCAGAAGUGAAACGCCGUAGCGCCGAUGGUAGUGUGGGGUCUCCCCAUGCGAGAGUAGGGAACUGCCAGGC